AUCUUGAAGUUAUGCGAAUUACAAAUCGUCUGAAGUAAGCUCAACUCGAGAGUUGAACCGCAAUUAAAAAUCUUAAGAUGGCGCAGCCCAGUUGAUCGCUCCGCGUUGUUCUGUUAGCUGUAGUCAAUCGAUCGCUCUGUAAUACAAAACCGUGUCUGAAUAUUUUUUUGCUGUUGCCACGUUACUCAAGAUAACAGAGAAUCGAAAAAGAAAUUGGCAAAGAAAAACAUUCUAAUCGCGUCACGUCACACAUCUCGUAUAGUAUUUCUCGAGAGAUCAAUCUCAACCCCGUCAUGAAGGUAACAAUAAAAAGUUGGACUGGCGUCGCCACCUGGCGGUGGAUUGCGAACGAUGAUAAUUGCGGAAUAUGCAGAAUGCCGUUCGACGCUAGCUGUCCAGAUUGUAAGAUCCCUGGGGAUGACUGUCCAUUAGUGUGGGGGCAGUGCUCGCAUUGUUUCCACAUACAUUGCAUCAUGAAGUGGCUGCACUCGCAGCAAACCAGCCACAUCUGUCCGAUGUGUCGCCAGGAGUGGAAGUUCAAGGAGUAACCGCCGUCGCUUGUCCCACGGGCCCGCAGGUGUCAGCACGCAGCGAGUGAUCAGUAUACAAGAAAGAAUCGCGAUGUCUUCCCUGCAAGGAUUACCCCCGUUACCAAGAAGCUUGAGCGGCUUCAAUCUGAGCGGCGGGCGCAGCGAGAAUGGCGAGCCACCUCCACCGCCCACAAGAUCGUCCAGUAAAUCCCAAAGAAGCGGUAAAACGUCGCAACAAUCGUCGUCAUCGAGGCCAUCACCACCUGCCAGACAGCUGACCACUCUAGAUACCCAACUGGCGGUGCUCAGGAGAGAAAUG
This 849-nucleotide unclassified non-coding RNA is filed under the name Pogonomyrmex barbatus (red harvester ant). Its description in RNAcentral is "leucine repeat adapter protein 25-like, transcript variant X1". Lineage: Eukaryota; Metazoa; Arthropoda; Insecta; Hymenoptera; Formicidae. The record is from RNAcentral.